Molecule: long non-coding RNA, 467 nt
Filed under: Sparus aurata (gilthead seabream)
Lineage: Eukaryota; Metazoa; Chordata; Actinopteri; Spariformes; Sparidae
Description: lncRNA (ENSSAUG00010012066.1)
Source: RNAcentral
GGGACACAUUUUUUAAAGGUCUGUGCUGUUUUGCUUUGCACAGCUGCCGGUUUUGUCCGUGUAUGUUUGUCCAGCUUUGUGUCUUUCUGUGCAGAGAGCUUUAAAGAUUCUGCAGCCUGCCGUCCUGGAGGAGUUCCUGGUUGCAGUGGAGGGUUUGGGGGCCUUUUGCACUGGGCCCAAACUCCAGGACUUGAUGAUCCUGUCUGACUCAGUCAGAAAGCAGUGGGAGGCCGUCAUGUGCGAAGCUGCAUCUGCUGAGGAAUGUGUUGAAACGCUCCAAGAGCUGUGUGAGACACUGACGCCAAGUGAAUCCUCCUGCCUGGAAACAGAUCAACUGAGGGAGUCAGAUGAAGCACAGGAAACACAGCCCGGUGACACAGUGCUCCCAUCUGACUGGUAAGAUAAUGCUAAGGAGGGGCAGCAUGAGGUGUAAUACAUUACAAGUCAACACGUUUAAAGAUCCACUC